Parus major (Great Tit) is the source of this 621-nucleotide long non-coding RNA. RefSeq lists it as uncharacterized. The record is from RefSeq and is a predicted model, not a curated record. The transcript has 2 exons. Lineage: Eukaryota; Metazoa; Chordata; Aves; Passeriformes; Paridae.
UUUGUAAUAGACAUAACAUGAUGCCAUAUUUUCUUAUCAGCAGAGAAGCACCAAGAAAAAGAAACAAGGCAAAAAGAGCCUCUGCAAUGGCUCACAAAAUAUUUUCUGCUUCAGGUUUUCCUACACAAAAAGGAAUGUCGUCUGUAUCCAGGCUAUGACGGAUUUCAAAAACAGAUCCUGAAAGGUCAUUGCAACUUACAAGAAAAGAAAAGUGGUGUUAGUCAUGAGAAGAGUGACCCCCGUGUCCCAGCCCGGCUGCAGAAGCGCGAACCAUGACUUACCGAUGGCUACUCCCCACAGCCGCUCUUCUUGGAAUUGCAACAUCUGCAACAUGAAUACCUGAAGAGAAAGGUGUAUGAGAAAGACCACAAAAAAGAGAAGCACUGUGAACAAGGACAAUGUUUUCAGAGAGAAAAGCCUGCAGAUCUCAAUGUAUGUUCCGUGACAACAGUGAAACCUACCUUUAGGAAAAACUUAACACUAUUCUGGAGUAAAAUGGCCUAAAGCCUAUUUUAAAAGGUUUUUGCAGUUUAUUAAACCAGCAAAUCAGAAACUUUAAAUGUAAAAAUUCCACUUUUCAUUAUGUCCCCAAAUAAUAAAUAUUUACUACUCAUAAUAAUA